UUUUUUUGCAUAUCAAAUAAGCGGAGGAAAAGAAACCAACAGGGAUUGCCUUAGUAGCGGCGAGUGAAGCGGCAAAAGCUCAAAUUUGAAAUCUGGCACUUUCAGUGUCCGAGUUGUAAUUUGAAGAAGGUAUCUUUGGGUCUGGCUCUUGUCUAUGUUUCUUGGAACAGAACGUCACAGAGGGUGAGAAUCCCGUGCGAUGAGAUGACCCAGACCUAUGUAAAGUUCCUUCGAAGAGUCGAGUUGUUUGGGAAUGCAGCUCUAAGUGGGUGGUAAAUUCCAUCUAAAGCUAAAUAUUGGCGAGAGACCGAUAGCGAACAAGUACAGUGAUGGAAAGAUGAAAAGAACUUUGAAAAGAGAGUGAAAAAGUACGUGAAAUUGUUGAAAGGGAAGGGCUUGAGAUCAGACUUGGUAUUUUGUAUGUUACUCUCUCGGGGGUGGCCUCUACAGUUUACCGGGCCAGCAUCAGUUUGGGCGGUAGGACAAUUGCAAAGAAAUGUGGCACUGCCUCGGUAGUGUGUUAUAGUCUUUGUCGAUACUGCCAGCCUAGACUGAGGACUGCGGCUUCGGCCUAGGAUGUUG
This 582-nucleotide ribosomal RNA is filed under the name Lodderomyces parapsilosis. RNAcentral's name for it is "eukaryotic LSU rRNA". It matches the Rfam family "Eukaryotic large subunit ribosomal RNA", at positions 31 to 628 of the family's 3401-position model. The record is from RNAcentral. Lineage: Eukaryota; Fungi; Ascomycota; Pichiomycetes; Serinales; Debaryomycetaceae.